This 253-nucleotide ribosomal RNA is filed under the name uncultured bacterium. Its description in RNAcentral is "partial 16S ribosomal RNA". It matches the Rfam family "Bacterial small subunit ribosomal RNA", at positions 524 to 776 of the family's 1533-position model. The record is from RNAcentral.
UACGUAGGGUGCGAGCGUUAAUCGGAAUUACUGGGCGUAAAGCGUGCGCAGGCGGUUCGUUAAGUCAGAUGUGAAAGCCCCGGGCUCAACCUGGGAACUGCGCUUGUAACUGGCAAGCUUGAGUGUGGCAGAGGGGGGUGGAAUUCCACGUGUAGCAGUGAAAUGCGUAGAGAUGUGGAGGAACACCAGAGGCGAAGGCGGCUACCUGGACAAUUACUGACGCUCAGGCACGAAAGCGUGGGGAGCAAAAGGG